RNAcentral lists this unclassified non-coding RNA (253 nucleotides) under plant metagenome. RNAcentral describes it as "partial contains small subunit ribosomal RNA, internal transcribed spacer 1, and 5.8S ribosomal RNA". The record is from RNAcentral.
UUUCCGUAGGUGAACCUGCGGAAGGAUCAUUAACGAGUUAGGGUCUUUUAGGCCCGACCUCCCAACCCUAUGUUUAUUGAACCUCUGUUGCUUCGGCGGACCCGUCUCACGGCCGCCGGAGGACCGCUGCGAGGCGUCCUCUGGCCAGCGUCCGCCGAUGGCCAACCCACUAAACUCUGGAUGAAUUGUGUCAUAUGUCUAAGUCUAUGAUUAAAUUAAAGCAAAACUUUCAACAACGGAUCUCUUGGUUCUG